Molecule: ribosomal RNA, 326 nt
Filed under: uncultured eukaryote
Lineage: Eukaryota
Description: partial 18S ribosomal RNA
Rfam family: Eukaryotic small subunit ribosomal RNA
Source: RNAcentral
CCCUUAGAUGUUCUGGGCCGCACGCGCGCUACACUGAUGCAUUCAACAAGCCUAGCCUUGACCGAGAGGUCCGGGUAAUCUUUGAAACUGCAUCGUGAUGGGGCUAGAUUAUUGCAAUUAUUAAUCUUCAACGAGGAAUGCCUAGUAAGCGUGAUUCAUCAAAUCGCGUUGAUUACGUCCCUGCCCUUUGUACACACCGCCCGUCGCUCCUACCGAUUGAAUGUGUUGGUGAGGAGCUCGGAUUGGCAGCAGUUGGUUGUUCGCCACCGGCUAUUGCUGAGAAGUCCUCCAAACCGCCCCAUUUAGAGGAAGGAGAAGUCGUAACA